UAAAAUAUUAUUACUUUAUUUUUAAGUUAAAAUUCUUUUUAAUAAAAAAAUUUUUAUUUUGAUUGUUUUUGUAAUUUUUUGAUUAAAUAAUUUUAGUUAUAGUAAAUUAGUACAUUGAUGGAAUUAUGAAAUAUAAUUAAUUAUAUAAAAAGUAGAUUUUUUUUAUUGUACCUUUUGUAUCAGGGUUGAUUAAAAAUGGAUUAUUAAUAAAUAUUUUUCUCGAAUUAAAAAGAGCUAAAUUAAUAUGAAAGUUUUUGUGGCAAAAUGAUUUUUUAUUUUAAUUUGGUAAUGAGACGUUAGUCGUUUUUUAAUAUAUCUAGUUUCUCAAGAAUUAAAUUUAAUUUAUUUAUUUUUUUACCAUUAUUUUAUUUGUUUAAUUUAAUGAAUUAAAAUAGAAAAAAUUAUAGGGAUAAGCUUGUAAUUUUUUUUUAUAAGGUAAUUUUUUUUAGUAAAUUAGUAGGAUUAGAAAUUUCCAUCUUUAAUUAAAGUGUUAUAAUUAAUUUAUUAAAAUAUAAGAUUUUCUUUUCUUUAAAGUUAUAUUGAGACAUAAAUUUUAAUUAUUUAUUUUAGGGAUAAUGAUUAAAUUAGUAUUAUUUUAUUUAUAAAUAAAAUUUAAAUAGAGAUGAAAGUAAGGAAUUCAGCAAAAUUGUAUUCGCCUGUUUAUCAAAAACAUGUCUUUUUGAUUAUAAUAUAAAGUCUAACCUGCCCACUGAAUAUUUGAAGGGCCGCAGUAUCCUGACUGUGCAAAGGUAGCAUAAUCAUUUGCCUUUUAAUUAGAGGCUAGUAUGAAUGGUUGAACGAAAUACAAACUGUCUCACUUUUAAAAUUUUAAAAAUUUAGCUUUCUAGUCAAAAGGCUUGAAUGUUAUUAAAGGACGAGAAGACCCUAUAGAACUUUAUAUUUUUUAAUUAAACUUUUUUUUAGUAAAAAAUUUAUUGUUUAUUUAUCAUAUAUUUUGUUGGGGUGACAGGGAAAUAAAUUUAACUUUCUUAAUUUAGAACAUUGAUUUAUGAGUUUUUGAUCCAUUAUUAAUGAUUAUUAGAAUAAGUUACCUUAGGGAUAACAGCGUAAUUUUAUUGGAGAGUUCAUAUCUAUAAUAAAGUUUGCGACCUCGAUGUUGAAUUAAAGAAAUUUUAAAGUGCAGAAGCUUUAAGUAAUAGGUCUGUUCGACCUUUAAAUCUUUACAUGAUUUGAGUUCAGACCGGCGUGAGCCAGGUCGGUUUCUAUCCUUAAUAAAAGACCAUUAUUUAGUACGAAAGGACCAAUUAUGGGAAAAAUUUUUUUAAAAGUUGAAUAAAAUU
Molecule: ribosomal RNA, 1301 nt
Filed under: Myrmeleon formicarius
Lineage: Eukaryota; Metazoa; Arthropoda; Insecta; Neuroptera; Myrmeleontidae
Description: 16S ribosomal RNA
Rfam family: Archaeal large subunit ribosomal RNA (bases 865-1236)
Source: RNAcentral